RNAcentral lists this ribosomal RNA (1102 nucleotides) under Photobacterium sp. NC23. RNAcentral's name for it is "bacterial SSU rRNA". It matches the Rfam family "Bacterial small subunit ribosomal RNA", at positions 50 to 1133 of the family's 1533-position model. Lineage: Bacteria; Pseudomonadati; Pseudomonadota; Gammaproteobacteria; Vibrionales; Vibrionaceae. The record is from RNAcentral.
CCUACCUGCAGUCGAGCGGCAGCGACUUACUCACCUUCGGGGAACGUUAGGGCGGCGAGCGGCGGACGGGUGAGUAAUGCCUGGGAAUAUGCCCUGAUGUGGGGGAUAACCAUUGGAAACGAUGGCUAUUACCGCAUAAUCUCUUCUGAUCAAGGAGGGGGACCUUCGGGCCUCUCUCGUCAGGAUAAGCCCAGGUGUGAUUACUACUUGGUAAGGAAACGGCUUACCAGGCCACCAUCUCUAGCUGGUCUGAUAGGAUGUUCAGCCACACUGGAACUGACACACGGUCCAUACUCCUACGGGAGGCCUCAGUGGGGAAUAUUGCACGAUGGGGGAUGCCCUGAUGCAGCCAUGCCGCGUGUGUCAAGAAGGCCUUCUGGUUGUAGAGCACUUUCAGUCGUGAGGAUAGCGGCUAGGUUAAUAGCCUACUUGUUUGACGUUAGCGACAGAACAAGCACCGGCAAACUCCGUGCCAGCAGCCGCGGUAAUACGGAGGGUGCGAGCGUUAAUCGGAAUUACUGGGCGUUAAGCGCAUGCAGGCGGCUUGUUAAGCCAGAUGUGAAAAGCCCGGGGUCUCAACCUCGGAAUCGCAUUUGGAACUGGCCAGGCUACAGUCUUGUAGAGGGGGGUCAGGAAUUUCAGGUGUACCGGUUGAAAUGGCGUAGAGAUCUGAAGGGAAUACCAGUGGCGAAGGCGGCCCCCUGGACAAAGACUGACGCUCAGAUGCGAAAGCGUGGGGAGCAAACAGGAUUAGAUACCCUGGUAGUCCACGCCGUAAACGAUGUUUACUUGGAGGCUGGGGUCUUGAACACUGGCUUUCGGAGCUUACGCGUUAAGUUGACCGCCUGGGGAGUACGGUCGCAAGAUUAUAACUCAAAUGAAUUGACGGGGGCCCGCACAAGCGGUGGAGCAUGUGGUUUAAUUCGAUGCAACGCGAAGAACCUUACCUACUCUUGUCAUCCAGAGAACUUUCCAGAGAUGGAUUGGUGCCUUCGGGAACUCAGAGACAGGUGCUGCAUGGCUGUCGUCAGCUCGUGUUGUGAAAUGGUGGGUUUAGUCCCGCAACGAGCGCAACCCUUAUCCUUGUUGCCAGCACUCGGUG